RNAcentral lists this ribosomal RNA (253 nucleotides) under uncultured bacterium. Its description in RNAcentral is "partial 16S ribosomal RNA". It matches the Rfam family "Bacterial small subunit ribosomal RNA", at positions 524 to 776 of the family's 1533-position model. The record is from RNAcentral.
UACAGAGGUCCCAAGCGUUGUUCGGAUUUACUGGGCGUAAAGGGUGCGUAGGUGGUUGGGUAAGUCUGAUGUGAAAUCUCGGAGCUUAACUCCGAAACGGCAUUGGAUACUAUCCGGCUGGAGGGUUGGAGGGGGGACUGGAAUUCUCGGUGUAGCAGUGAAAUGCGUAGAUAUCGAGAGGAACACCAGUGGCGAAGGCGAGUCCCUGGACAACUCCUGACACUGAGGCACGAAAGCCAGGGGAGCAAACGGG